AUGGAGAACUGUUUUGCUUCCCCGACGUUCCUGACUGACAGCUUAGAGCUGGAGCUGGGGACAGAGUGGUGCAAACCUCCUUGCUUUUCUUGUGCUGUUGACAACAGAGGAGGAGGAAAACAUUUUUCUGGAGAAUCCCACCUCUACAGUGGAGCCCUUAAGCGAUUAAUUUUGAAUCUUGAUCCUUUACCAACUAAUUUUGAAGAAGAUACAUCGGAAAUAUUUGGCAUUCAGUGGGUUACUGAAACAGCAUUAGUGAAUUCAUCCAAAGAGCUCUUUCAUUUAUUCAGGCAACAACUAUACAACUUGGAAACCUUGUUACAGUCCAGUUGUGAUUUUGGGAAGGUAUCAACUCUACACUGUGAAGCAGACAGUAUUAGACAGCAGUGUGUAUUAUUUCUCCAUUAUGUUAAAGUUUUUAUCUUCAGGUAUCUGAAAGUACACAAUGGGAACAGUCAUGAUCCUGUCCAUCCUUAUGAGACUUUGGAGGCUCAAAUUCCCUCAGUAUUGAUUGAUGAGCUUCAUGGAUUACUCUUAUAUAUUGGACAUCUUUCUGAACUUCCCAGUAUUAAUAUAGGAGCAUUUGUAAAUCAAAACCAGAUAAAGCUUUUUCCACCAUCAUGGCAUUUAUUACAUCUCCACUUGGAUAUACAUUGGCUGGUGCUAGAAAUUCUCUACAUGCUGGGUGAAAAAUUAAAACAAGUUGUAUAUGGUCAUCAGUUUAUGAAUCUGGCAAGUGACAAUUUUACCAAUGUCAGUCUAUUUGAAGAACAUUGUGAAACUCUCCUUUGCAAUUUAAUAAGCCUGUCACUCAACAGGUAUGACAAGGUUAGGCCCUCUGAAUCAUUAAUGAGUCACCACUGUCCAUGUUCAUGCAUUAAAGAAUUAUGGGUUCUACUUAUUCAUCUUCUAGACCACAGAAGUAAAUGGUCUCUCUCAGAAUCAUUCUGGACCUGGUUGAAUAAACUACUUAAAACACUGUUUGAAAAGUCAAGUGACCGAAGAAGACCCUCUAUGCCUGUAAUCCAGUCCAGGGAUCCGUUAGGUUUUAGUUGGUGGAUUAUUACUCAUGUAGCAUCAUUUUACCAGUUUGAUCGCCAUGGAGUACUAGAUGAAAUGAGAAAAAUGGAAUCAAAUUGGAACUUUGUAGAAGAACUGCUGAAAAAGUCCAUCAGUGUUCAGGAUGUCAUUCUCGAAGAACAAUUACGAAUGUACCUUCACUGUUGUUUGACACUUUGUGAUUUCUGGGAGCCAAACAUUGCAAUUGUUACCAUUUUAUGGGAAUAUUAUAGUAAGAACCUGAAUAGUUCCUUCAGUAUUUCUUGGCUUCCUUUUAAAGGUCUCAGUAAUACCAUGAAGUCACCCUUGUCUAUGCUUGAAAUGGUGAAGACCUGCUGUUGCGAUAAACAAGAUAAGGACCUCUAUAAAUCCAGCAGUAGUUAUACUAUUUUUCUUUGCAUUCUGGCAAAAGUUGUUAAAAAAGCAAUGAAGAAUAAUGGCCCCCAUCCUUGGAAACAAGUCAAAGGAAGAAUAUAUUCAAAAUUCCAUCAAAAAAGAAUGGAAGAACUAACUGAAGUUGGUCUACAGAACUUUUUUAGCCUUUUUCUACUGUUAGCAGCUGUUGCAGAAGUAGAAGAUGUAGCAAGUCAUGUUUUAGAUCUCCUGAAUUUCCUCAAGCCUUCUUUUAUAACAUCUCAGAGAGCCCUCAUUUGGAAGGGUCACAUGGCCUUCCUCUUGAUGUAUGCCCAGAAAAAUCUGGACAUUGGUGUUUUGGCUGAGAAAUUUUCAUGUGCUUUCCGGGAGAAAGCAAAGGAAUUCUUGGUGUCUAAGAAUGAGGAAAUGGUACAGAGACAGACUAUGUGGACACUUCUUUCCAUAUACAUUGAUGGUGUUCAAGAAGUGUUUGAGACCAGCUAUUGCUUGUAUCCUUCCCAUGAAAAACUGCUUAAUGAUGGAUUUAGUAUGCUUCUGCGAGCAUGCCGAGAAUCUGAACUUAGGACAGUAUUGAGCUUUCUACAGGCUGUUCUGGCCAGAAUCAGGAGUAUGCAUCAACAAUUGUGUCAGGAACUUCAAAGGGACGAUGUGGACCUGGUUGCACAGUCUUCAUUAUCAGCUAAAGAGCGCCACCUUGCUGCAGUUGCUAGUGCACUGUGGAGACAUUUCUUUUCAUUUUUGAAGAGUCAGAGAAUGUCACAGGUAGUGCCUUUCAAACAACUUGCGGAUGCAGCUGCAGACUUUACUUUGCUAGCAAUGGACAUGCCAAGCACAGCUCCAUCAGAUUUUCAGCCUCAGCCAGUUAUAUCAAUUAUUCAGCUUUUUGGUUGGGAUGAUAUCAUCUGUCCUCAAGUUGUAGCAAGAUAUUUAAGUCAUUUCCUGCAAAAUAGCACAUUGUGUGAAGAACUGUCUCAUUCAUGCAAUGUAUCUUUUCAAGCCUUAACUGUAAGAUCAUGGAUUCGUUGUGUUUUGCAAAUGUAUAUAAAAAACCUCUCUGGACCUGAUGAUUUGCUCAGAGAUAAAAAUCUUGAACAGGCAGUUGAAAAAGAGUACAUGGAACAGUUGAUUGAACUGACAAGGUUACUAUUUAAACUCUCAGAAGUAAAGAGUAUUUUCUCAAAGGCCCAAGUUGAAUAUUCGUCCAUCUCAGAAGACCCUAAAAAAGCACUCAUUCGAUUCUUUGAGGCUGUUGGCAUAACUUACGGGACUCUUCAGACACUUUCUGAUAAAUCUGCCAUGGUCACAAAGUCCUUGGAAUACCUUGGUGACAUAUUAAAAUAUAUUAAGCCUUAUUUGGGAAAAAAAGUUUUCAGUGCAGGGCUACAGCUCACUUACAGAAUGAUGGGAAUUCUUGUGAAAUCAUGGGCACAAAUCUUUGCCACCUCUAAAGCCCAAAAAUUACUUUUCCGGAUCAUAGAUUGUUUACUGCUGCCACAUACAGUAUUACAGCAAGGGAAGGAACUGCCUGCACCUAUGUUUUCUGCAAUUCAGAAAAGUCUUCCUUUGUAUCUCCAGGGCAUGGUGUGUUGUCAAUCUCAAAAUCCAAAUGCCUAUUUGAAUCAAUUGCUAGGGAAUGUUAUUGAGCAGUAUAUUGGGCGAUUUCUUCCAGCUUCACCAUACGUUUCAGAUCUUGGACAACAUCCUGUUUUGUUGGCUUUGAGAAACACAGCCAUUGUUCCACCAAUAUCAUCUCUAAAAAAAUGCAUUGUACAAGUCAUAAGGAAAUCCUACCUUGAGUAUAAGGGGUCCUCACCUCCUCCUCGCUUAGCAUCCAUUCUGGCCUUCAUUCUCCAACUCUUCAAGGAAACUAACACAGAUGUUUGUGAAGUUGAAGUACUCCUCCCUGGCAUUUUAAAAUGCUUGGUGUUAGUCAAUGAACCACAAGUUAAAAGGCUGGCCACAGAGAACCUGCAAUACAUGGUAAAAGCCUGCCAAGUGGGGUCAGAAGAAGAACCUUCCGCCCAGCUGACUUCUGUGUUUAGGCAGUUUAUCCAGGAUUAUGAUACAAGGUACUGUUAUCAGGUUUACAGCAUUUUAGAAACAGUAGCAACAUUGGACAAGCAGGUUGUCAUCCACUUGAUUUCUACCCUCACUCAGUCUCUGAAGGAUUCAGAGCAGAAAUGGGGCCUUGGCAGGAAUAUAGCACAAAGGACCAGUGUGCCAGCCAAAGGAAUGAACACAGCAUUUUCCAAAGAAAUGAUUCUGUUCAUCAAAAUGGCUACUGGAACACAGAAAUACCCAUCAUGUGAACAUUCAAGACUAUUACAAAAUAGGAGAUGUGGAGAAAGUGCACUGUGGCAGCACUCUGGUCUCCUAAACUUGACCGGGAAGGGAUCUGAUCACUUGUGGAUGUUAACAAUGGAAGCUGACAAGUGGGGAAAAGUUAUUCUCUCCAUAAAGAAAAGUAAGGGUUCAAAUACUUUGAAUAGGUCACCACCAUCAACCACAUGGCUAGGAGACAAGUCAACGAGAAUCCAGAGGAUUAGUGUCUAAUCCUGAACUGCGCUGGAAUAAUCAAUCAAAACUAAUGGAUAUAUAAAGAGGAAGGAACCUAUCCAGGCCAAUCAUUACUCUCUCACUCAACCCCAACUGGAGUACCCUUGCCUGCAGCAGUAUUCCUGGCUUUGAAAGUCAUCAAGCUGAUUUGUCUGCUCUGGGUUACGAUGCCACAUGCUGCUAUACUGUCCCCUGCAAUCAAAGCACUUGCAAAGAUAGAUUCCAUGCCUUCCUCUAUCGAGUAUAUUUUAUAGAUUGGCAGUUUUGAUCUCCCUCCCCCACCCCAGGGGGGAUAAUCUGCAUCUUAACAGCUUUCUAUAGAUACAUCUGUCAUUAAAUAUGCCAUCUCAUAUCAGCAUCCAUUUUUAAAACCAAGUUUUCUCUAACUUUGAAGUGCCACAGUGAAAGUUAAGACUUUUCAGCCAAAAUUGAAAAUGAGCAGCCCUGUCUUAUACUUUUGAACUGUGACUUAAAGAUAUACUGCAGGUUCCCCCAAAGUCAAAUAAGUCUUUAAAAACUGCCAGAAGGAAUGAAAAGUUACCACCGUGCUACCAGCAGUGAGAAAUGCUUUCUAUCAUCAAGACAGGAGCAAAGCAUUUUUCUUAAGCUUCCCUGUACAACUCGCCACAAAAUAUUGUGACAAAUGGAUGAGUGCAUACUGGAUCGAUGACAGGCGACGGCCAAACAAGCAACCUUCGUCUCUGCUACUGAGAUCACUGACUCUCAAACAUAUUCUACUCCAAAGCAACAACUGGUCAAUGCUGACAGUGCUCAUGAAAUAAGAGUGUAUAGAAAAACUGCUCUCAUUGUACUUAGACUGGGUCAAGUCUGAUGGCUCUGCUAAUUUUUUUUUAAUGACACCUCUGUUGAUAAAUAGAGGGUCCUACACUAAACUCCACGAGUAGAUGCCUGUGGUUCCUAAUGCAGUGCUAAUGCACAAACAGGACAGAGUGGGGUGCCAAGAACUGAUCUCUACACGCAGGGUGGAGCCUGCUCCAGGUUGGAAUUCUGCCAGCAAAUUCAGGAUUGAGGAAAAUCAUCUAAAGUUCUCUGCAACUGUCUUGGAGACCUGCAGUGGCCAGGUUCACACUAGUCUAAGGGAAGAGUUUCAGGACAGGCUAUGGCAUUAACAUGGGUCCUAUAUGACUGUAUCCUUGGGGAAGCCAUUUAACACAGCCAGCCUCAGCUUCCUCAUAUGCAAAACAGAGAAGAUGAUAUCUUCCCUACAGGUUUCAGAUGAACUAGAGCGCGUGACAUAGUGACAAUCCGCAGAGCGAACUUUAUUACAGUCCUGUAGCUGCUUAUAAAAAUUUCUUACCAUUUCCAUAAAAGAUACAAAUGACUAUAUGUGAAAUACUGAAUUAAGACAUGAAUUGUGUAGUGCGAAAUAGAUAUCUUAUAAUUAUUUUUUCUGACAACCAGAAUUACCAGCUUUUUUUUCAGUGUCCAAGGCCUUUUUCCUUUAAUAGUUUAAGCCCCUCUCUUCUGUAACUUUCUCCAACUCUUGAAAGACUAAAACUUCAUACUUACAAUUUAAUUACCUAAAGAAUAACCUAGCAUUAAGUAUGAGUUAAUAUUAGUUACUGUUGAUAGAACUACACUCAUUAUUAGCCCUUGAUAAAAGUAAUACCAUAGGAAUAUUUAUAAUAAAUGCAAAACCAAACUUAGUAUCUAUUUUUAUAUGAAAUUAAAGA
Molecule: non-coding RNA, 5684 nt
Organism: Callithrix jacchus (white-tufted-ear marmoset)
Lineage: Eukaryota; Metazoa; Chordata; Mammalia; Primates; Cebidae
Source: RefSeq, a predicted model, not a curated record